UACCAGUACAUUGUGGUGCGCUCUCGAAGAGUCGAGUUGUUUGGGAAUGCAGCUCAAAAUGGGUGGUAAAUUCCAUCUAAAGCUAAAUAUUGGGGAGAGACCGAUAGCGAACAAGUACCGUGAGGGAAAGAUGAAAAGAACUUUGGAAAGAGMGUUAAACAGUACGUGAAAUUGCUGAAAGGGAAACGCUUGAAGUCAGUCGCGUUGUGCAGAACUCAGCCUUGCUUUUGCUUGGUGUAUUUUCUGUACGACGGGUCAACAUCAGUUUUGGUCGGUGGAUAAGGUUGUAGGGAAUGUGGCUCUCUCGGGAGUGUUAUAGCCUUGCAGCGUAUACAUCGGCUGGGACUGAGGAACUCAGCACGCCGCAAGGCCGGGUUUUUAACCACGUUCGUGCUUAGGAUGUUGGCAUAAUGGCUUUAAUCGACCCGUCUUGAAACACGGACCAAGGAGUCUAACAUGCUUGCGAGUGUUUGGGUGUUAAACCCGAGCGCGUAAUGAAAGUGAAAGUUGAGAACCCUGUCGUGGGGUGCAUCGACGCCCGGAGCAGACCUUUUGUGACGCAUCCGCGGUAGAGCAAGUACGUUGGGACCCGAAAGAUGGUGAACUAUGCCUGAAUAGGGUGAAGCCAGAGGAAACUCUGGUGGAGGCUCGUAGCGA
This 657-nucleotide ribosomal RNA is filed under the name Mycena tenuisetosa. Its description in RNAcentral is "LSU rRNA". It matches the Rfam family "Eukaryotic large subunit ribosomal RNA", at positions 234 to 883 of the family's 3401-position model. The record is from RNAcentral. Lineage: Eukaryota; Fungi; Basidiomycota; Agaricomycetes; Agaricales; Mycenaceae.